UCAUCGUGACCUUUCAACUGCUUAUUUCAUUUCAUAUACAUCAUCUCUCAUACUUGUUUCCAUUCUUUCUCACCACUUCAGUUCAUACAUUAUAUUAUCAACUACUUGUAUAUAGAAAAUUAAAGGUUUAUACAAAUAUAGUCAUUAUUCUCUCAGGGCAAUCGAAAAGAUUACAAUGGUGACAAUGGGGUUGGAGAGGUUGAUGGUGACAUUGAAGACAAAGUUGGCUAGGUCUUUUAAGGGGAAAAAGCUCUACGAAUAUGAUGAGAUUGAGAAGAGUGAGAGUAUGAGGAUAGAGAUAAGAAGUAAAAAAGCACGAAAGUUGAUUGAAGAGACUCUCAAAGUUGCCGAUUCUCCUACUAAGAGAAGUGUUUCCAUUUGACAUAAAAUCAAGAAGCUAAGGUCGUUUAUUUUACAAUUCAGGAUAGUUAUGCGGAGCAUCUACAUGGAAGCAAAUUGUGUAGUCGAUUAUUUUACCUCAUUCGAUAAUCACAUUCAAGAUUAAGACUAGAAUACACCGGCUUUUCUACUAAGAGAAGCUAUUUAAUUUAUAAGGAGUAUUAAUAGUUUAAUAUGGUUUUAAUAAACCUUGAGAAAAGGUUACCAUAAAACCAUCAUCUUUGUAUUUUCCAAAAAAAAAAAAAAAAAAAAGUUUGCAAAUUGUAUGAAUUUUUAUGGUAACAUUUGAGUUAUGAAUUAUGAUCAUAUUGUGGUUUUUGUUGUGCA
This is a long non-coding RNA of Chenopodium quinoa (quinoa), 726 nucleotides long. RefSeq lists it as uncharacterized. The record is from RefSeq and is a predicted model, not a curated record. The transcript is spliced from 2 exons. NCBI's taxonomy places the organism in Eukaryota, Viridiplantae, Streptophyta, Magnoliopsida, Caryophyllales, Amaranthaceae.